RNAcentral lists this ribosomal RNA (387 nucleotides) under uncultured bacterium. Its description in RNAcentral is "bacterial SSU rRNA". It matches the Rfam family "Bacterial small subunit ribosomal RNA", at positions 29 to 420 of the family's 1533-position model. The record is from RNAcentral.
AUUGAACGCUGGCGGCAUGCCUUACACAUGCAAGUCGAACGGCAGCGCGGGAGCAAUCCUGGCGGCGAGUGGCGAACGGGUGAGUAAUAUAUCGGAACGUGCCCUGUAGCGGGGGAUAGCCCGGCGAAAGCCGGAUUAAUACCGCAUACGCUCUAACGGAGGAAAGCGGGGGUCGCAAGACCUCGCACUAUAGGAGCGGCCGAUAUCGGAUUAGCUAGUUGGCGGGGAAAAGCCCACCAAGGCUACGAUCCGUAGCUGGUCUGAGAGGAUGAUCAGCCACACUGGAACUGAGACACGGUCCAGACUCCUACGGGAGGCAGCAGUGGGGAAUUUGGACAAUGGCGCAAGCCUGAUCCAGCCAUGCCGCGUGAGUGAAGAAGGCCUCGG